GACGAACGCUGGCGGCGUGCUUAACACAUGCAAGUCGAACGGAAAGGCCCUGCUUUUGUGGGGUGCUCGAGUGGCGAACGGGUGAGUAACACGUGAGUAACCUGCCCUUGACUUUGGGAUAACUUCAGGAAACUGGGGUUAAUACCGGAUAGGAGCUCCUGCCGCAUGGUGGGGGUUGGAAAGUUUCGGCGGUUGGGGAUGGACUCGCGGCUUAUCUGCUUGUUGGUGGGGUAGUGGCUUACCAAGGCUUUGACGGGUAGCCGGCCUGGGGGGGUGACCGGCAACAUGGGGACGGGAUAACGGCCCGACCUCCUACGGGAGGCAGAGGGGGGGAUAAUGGCAAAAGGGGCGGAGCCCGAUGGAAGCAACGCCGCGGGCGGGUGGACGCCCUUCGGGUUGAAAACCGCUUUAGCCUGUGACGAGGCGGGAGUGACGGUAAUGGGUGAAGAAGCACCGGCUAACUACGUG
This 468-nucleotide ribosomal RNA is filed under the name uncultured bacterium. RNAcentral's name for it is "partial 16S ribosomal RNA". It matches the Rfam family "Bacterial small subunit ribosomal RNA", at positions 28 to 507 of the family's 1533-position model. The record is from RNAcentral.